This 460-nucleotide ribosomal RNA is filed under the name uncultured bacterium. RNAcentral describes it as "partial 16S ribosomal RNA". It matches the Rfam family "Bacterial small subunit ribosomal RNA", at positions 338 to 795 of the family's 1533-position model. The record is from RNAcentral.
CCUACGGGAGGCAGCAGUGAGGAAUAUUGGUCAAUGGACGCAAGUCUGAACCAGCCAUGCCGCGUGCAGGAAGACGGCUCUAUGAGUUGUAAACUGCUUUUGUACGAGGGUAAACGCAGAUACGCGUAUCUUUCUGAAACUAUCGUACGUAUAAGGAUCGGCUAACUCCGUGCCAGCAGCCGCGGUAAAACGGAGGAUUCAAGCGUUAUCCGGAUUUAUUGGGUUUAAAGGGUGCGUAGGCGGUCGGAUAAGUUAGAGGUGAAAUCCCGAGGCUCAACUUCGGAAGUGCCUCUGAUACUGUUCGGCUAGAGAGUAGUUGCGGUAGGCGGAAUGUAUGGUGUAGCGGUGAAAUGCUUAGAGAUCAUACAGAACACCGAUGGCGAAGGCAGCUUACCAAGCUACUUCUGACGUUGAGGCACGAAAGCGUGGGGAGCAAACAGGAUUAGAUACCCCUGUAGUC